GAUGGUGUGGCUUAGUGGUAAGAGCGCAUGCUUAGCAUUCACAAGGUCCUGGGUUUAAUUCCCAGCACCAGCA
RNAcentral lists this transfer RNA (73 nucleotides) under Heterocephalus glaber (naked mole-rat). It matches the Rfam family "tRNA". From Rfam's summary of the family: Transfer RNA (tRNA) molecules are approximately 80 nucleotides in length. Their secondary structure includes four short double-helical elements and three loops (D, anti-codon, and T loops). Further hydrogen bonds mediate the characteristic L-shaped molecular structure. tRNAs have two regions of fundamental functional importance: the anti-codon, which is responsible for specific mRNA codon recognition, and the 3' end, to which the tRNAs corresponding amino acid is attached (by aminoacyl-tRNA synthetases). tRNAs cope with the degeneracy of the genetic code in two manners: having more than one tRNA (with a specific anti-codon) for a particular amino acid; and 'wobble' base-pairing, i.e. permitting non-standard base-pairing at the 3rd anti-codon position. Lineage: Eukaryota; Metazoa; Chordata; Mammalia; Rodentia; Bathyergidae. The record is from Rfam by way of RNAcentral.